GGAGGGGCGGGAGGGGAGCCCCGGCAGCCGGCCGCCCGCACCGAGGGGCGGCCCUUUUGUCCUCAGCAGCCCGAGUCGAGGGAGAGCAAGGUGUCAUGCAGCCUGAUGGUGUGAUGCCGCCGCUCCCGGAGAGAGUAUUGAUAGAAUGAAGCUCCUGGAACAAAGAAUUUGCCAUGUGGAUGCUGUGCCCUGUGCCAACUUUACUUUAAUCCUUGCGUUCACUUACAGUCAGGCAAUCACUUAAAUAUGCAUACACAGCCGAUAUGAGAAUGUUAACCAGACGGUAUUAGGCCAGUACCUGCAUUUAUUUUGUUUUACAUUUCCUGCAGCACUUCACAAACAUGUUAGCUAGAAGAUAAUGCAUGUGAAGUAAUUAUCAUUAAAAGUCUGCAUCUGUAUUUAUUAUUA
Canis lupus familiaris (dog) is the source of this 408-nucleotide long non-coding RNA. RefSeq lists it as uncharacterized. The transcript has 2 exons. The record is from RefSeq and is a predicted model, not a curated record. NCBI's taxonomy places the organism in Eukaryota, Metazoa, Chordata, Mammalia, Carnivora, Canidae.